This 279-nucleotide ribosomal RNA is filed under the name uncultured Staphylococcus sp. Its description in RNAcentral is "partial 16S ribosomal RNA". It matches the Rfam family "Bacterial small subunit ribosomal RNA", at positions 83 to 354 of the family's 1533-position model. Lineage: Bacteria; Bacillati; Bacillota; Bacilli; Caryophanales; Staphylococcaceae. The record is from RNAcentral.
CCUUUGACGUUAGCGGCGGACGGGUGAGUAACACGUGGGUAACCUACCUAUAAGACUGGGAUAACUUCGGGAAACCGGAGCUAAUACCGGAUAAUAUUUCGAACCGCAUAGUUCGAUAGUGAAAGGUGGUUUUGCUAUCACUUAUAGAUGGACCCGCGCCGUAUUAGCUAGUUGGUAAGGUAACGGCUUACCAAGGCGACGAUACGUAGCCGACCUGAGAGGGUGAUCGGCCACACUGGAACUGAGACACGGUCCAGACUCCUACGGGAGGCAGCAGGC